AUGGUGGGCAGCCACCUGGAAACCAUAGGAGCAUCUUCUUGCAGACGCAGGACCUGGUUUGAGUUGGGGUGUUGAAGAAGUCCCUCUGGUAUGACAUAUAUAAUGCCUUUCCCUGGCUGAAGCAGCCAGUCUUCCAAAGGCUCCACUUGCAUUGUGGCAAAGACAAAGCUUCUAUCCAGGACAUCUGGUACUACAAGGAUUGGAUCAGAGCAAAAUAUUCUUCGGUCUGUGGAUCUGGUCAAAAAGCUUUUGCUCUGUUCAAUCUAAGCUUCAAAUCUACCUGUCAACGGUUUCUGGAGAAGUACACUGAGCUACAGAUACUUGAAGAAACAAAAGAAGAGAAGUUAUUUGUGGAAACAGGGAAGGCUUUAUUGGCAGAAAAUGUCAUUUUAAGAUGAGUAGGAGAAGCCAAGGACUCAGCAGGAAGGUAGUCACGUUUCCUGGGAAUCUGAGCACAUGAGCAUCAAACCCCAAACUAUGUUGGAAGGAAACAAGCCUCAGAAAGAAGUCGCACAGGACCAGCAUUUGGCGGCACGUGGAGAACAGGCAAAAGGGCUCUCACCGCCCUGAAGAUUGUAUACUGUGUAUACUGACAUCCACACUGUACUUACUAGAUGAAUGUUGAGCUAUUUUUAACAGUUGAACUGUGUAAAUGUUUCUUAAUCUCUAAGGCAUUAUGUUUGCCUUCCCUUAGUUCUAAUUUCUGGGUUGUCAUAAAGCUCAGUAUCAUGAUUUGAAAGAAGCACUUAUAUGAACUUUUAUGUUAGGACAUAACUAAAUAAAGAAUUCCCUAGCUGCUUAUAAAGUAAAUUUACUUUGAAAUUGUAAAUUACAUGAGGAAACCUUUAUAAAGAUUGUUUGGG
RNA transcript from Lemur catta (Ring-tailed lemur), 863 nucleotides. It is a transcript of the gene named 28S ribosomal protein S23, mitochondrial-like, with no coding region annotated. Lineage: Eukaryota; Metazoa; Chordata; Mammalia; Primates; Lemuridae. The record is from RefSeq and is a predicted model, not a curated record. The transcript has a single exon.